Molecule: ribosomal RNA, 463 nt
Filed under: uncultured Aquimonas sp.
Lineage: Bacteria; Pseudomonadati; Pseudomonadota; Gammaproteobacteria; Lysobacterales; Lysobacteraceae
Description: bacterial SSU rRNA
Rfam family: Bacterial small subunit ribosomal RNA
Source: RNAcentral
UGCAAGGGGCAGCUACCAUGCAGUCGAGCGCGCCCUUCGGGGUGAGCGGCGGACGGGUGAGUAACGCGUGGGAAUAUGCCCUUCUCUACGGAAUAGUCCCGGGAAACUGGGGGUAAUACCGUAUACGCCCUUCGGGGGAAAGAUUUAUCGGAGAAGGAUUAGCCCGCGUUGGAUUAGCUAGUUGGCGGGGUAAAGGCCCACCAAGGCGACGAUCCGUAGCUGGUCUGAGAGGAUGAUCAGCCACACUGGGACUGAGACACGGCCCAGACUCCUACGGGAGGCAGCAGUGGGGAAUAUUGGACAAUGGGCGCAAGCCUGAUCCAGCAAUGCCGCGUGGGUGAAGAAGGCCUUCGGGUUGUAAAGCCCUUUUGUACGGGAAGAAAUCAUCCGGGUUAAUACCCUGGGUGGAUGACGGUACCGUAAGAAUAAGCACCGGCUAACUUCGUGCCAGCAGCCGCGGUAA